This is a non-coding RNA of Python bivittatus (Burmese python), 2125 nucleotides long. The record is from RefSeq and is a predicted model, not a curated record. Lineage: Eukaryota; Metazoa; Chordata; Lepidosauria; Squamata; Pythonidae.
AGCCGCCGCGUCGCUGACUCUCGGUCCGCUUGCCUUCUCUCUUCGCCUCGGGAGCCUGUUACAUUCGAGCGGCGGGAGCAGUGGCGGGUCCCUUCCGUGCCUCCCCUCUAUUUGCUGCCAGGUCUCGGUCGCUGCCGUAGAAAAGGCCGAUGCUCCUUUGCGAGGGAAAAGUCGCCCUUUGGUAAACAGACGGGGAAGGUGUUGGCGCGCUUGCUUGCCUCUCCUUCCUCUUUCGAUGUUCUCGCUUGAGCUGGCAGGAAAAGGGGGCGGCUCUUGCGUGGAAAUGUGACUGCUGGCUUGCCGGGCUCGGUCGAUGUUUACGAGAGGCUGUUCUCUCUAGGUUUUGAACUCUAAUACUGAGGCACUGCUUUGGAAUCAUUUUUUUAACAUGGAGCAACUAGAAGAUUCAUCCAAGAGGAUUCUUUUAGAGCCAUACAACUACCUGCUUCAACUCCCUGGUAAACAGGUCAGAACCAAACUUUCCCAAGCCUUUAAUCACUGGUUGAACGUUCCUGAAGAUAAACUUCAGGUUAUAAUUGAAGUGACAGAAAUGUUGCACAAUGCAAGUUUGCUUAUAGAUGACAUAGAAGACAAUUCAAAGCUACGACGUGGUUUUCCAGUGGCCCACAGCAUUUAUGGAAUACCAUCUGUGAUAAACUGUGCAAACUUUGUAUAUUUCCUUGGUUUACAAAAGGUUUUAACACUUGAUCAUCCAGAUGCUGUAAAAGUAUUUACCCGUCAACUGCUUGAACUCCAUAAGGGCCAAGGCUUGGAUAUUUACUGGAGAGAUACUUAUACCUGUCCUACAGAAGGAGAAUAUAAAGCCAUGGUUCUGCAAAAGACAGGUGGCCUUUUUGGACUAGCCGUGGGCCUUAUGCAAUUGUUUUCCAGUUAUAAAAAUGAUUUGAAACCACUCCUUAACACUCUCGGGCUCUUCUUUCAAAUCAGAGAUGACUAUGCAAAUUUACACUCGAAAGAAUAUAGUGAAAACAAAAGCUUUUGUGAAGACUUAACUGAAGGGAAGUUCUCAUUCCCAACUAUUCAUGCAAUAUGGUCCAGGCCAGACAGCACACAGGUUCAGAAUAUUCUGCGACAGAGAACUGAAAAUGUGGAUAUAAAAAAAUACUGCGUACAUUACCUCGAGAAUGUGGGAUCCUUUGAAUAUACCCGGAAAACAUUAGAAGAACUUGAGUCUGAAGCUUAUAAACAAAUUGAAUUGCUUGGGGGGAACCCUGAACUUACAGCAUUACUUGAAUAUUUAAGCAAAAUGUUCAGGGACAAUGAAAAUUAACAGUUAACAAUUGAAUUUUUUUGGAAAUUGUUUUUAAAGGAUCAAGAAAAGUAAGAUUCAUUUUACAGUAUCUAAUUUGCUGCAUAUGAAUUGUGCUAAAACAGAUCUUAAGGGGUAACUGGGGAUUUGUGCAUACAAUAUAUUACCUUAAAACUUCAAUUUUCAGUUGUUUAUGCAAAAUCAUGUGACAAAUGUCAAUUAAAGUGGCUUCCAACUCUCACUAUGAUUUUGAUUUGUAAUCCCAUUUGAUUGAGUUUAUUCUUAUCAUAGGACACAUAUCAAGAAUGAGUACAGUAUGACCUAAGAUGUUUUAAGAUGGAGGAAAAUCAUCAAAUGGGCGGUAGAGGACAGUACUAUCCAGAAACCUUUUAAAUGAGAAUUGAUCAACUUUACUGAAGUAUAAAAUGCAAACGGAACAUAAAAGAGCUACAUAUGCAUAGGAAAACAGUACGAACAGCUUAUAAACGAGGUACUGCCUUUCUUCAAGAAGUGUACUCCAAAACUGCUGGAAAUUAAUCUUACUCUGAGUGAAUAUACUCAUACAUUCCCGAAACUCCAUUUCCUACAAUGACAUCAGUGCAGGCCGAGAACCUUACAGGUAGUCCUCCCUUAAUGACCAAUUUUCUGGUUCCUGUUGUGGUUAAGUGGGUCACCACAUGACCGGACCCAAUUUUAUGACCAUUUUUAUGACAGUUAUUAAGUGAAUUACCAUGGCCAUUAAGCAAAUCACAUGGUCGGUAAGCGAAUCAUGUCAUCAUGUGAAUCCAGCUUCCCCAAUAGUUUUUGCCAGAAUUUGCUUAACAAUGUGUUUCACUUAACAACCACGUGAUUUGC